RNAcentral lists this ribosomal RNA (339 nucleotides) under Triticum aestivum (bread wheat). Its description in RNAcentral is "partial small subunit ribosomal RNA". Lineage: Eukaryota; Viridiplantae; Streptophyta; Magnoliopsida; Poales; Poaceae. The record is from RNAcentral.
AUGCCACCAUGGGAGCGCUUCCGCGAUUUGUGCCUCUUGCGCUUCGGUCCGCCUAUACGCAGGAGUUGUCUAGCGGAGCUUGGGCGUCUUCCGUUCCUCACCUCGGUGCAAGACUUCGCCGACCGCUUCCAGGCACUGGCGUGCCAUGCCCCCGGCGUUUCGGCUCAACAGCGGGCUGAGCUCUUCGUCGGCGGCCUACCGGACCACAUCCGCGUGGACGUGGAGAUGCGCGGGCCACAGGACCUUCAGACAGCCAUGUACUACGCCCGCGCGUUCGAGCGUCGCGCGGUGGCCAUCCAGCAGGCGCCACCGCCCCGGGCCGUUGGGCCGCCACCCUAG